AUCCAGCUGACAAGUGAAAAAUAGGACGAAACGCGCAUCCUGGAU
Non-coding RNA from Schistosoma haematobium, 45 nucleotides. NCBI's taxonomy places the organism in Eukaryota, Metazoa, Platyhelminthes, Trematoda, Strigeidida, Schistosomatidae. The record is from Rfam.